This 253-nucleotide ribosomal RNA is filed under the name uncultured bacterium. RNAcentral describes it as "partial 16S ribosomal RNA". It matches the Rfam family "Bacterial small subunit ribosomal RNA", at positions 524 to 776 of the family's 1533-position model. The record is from RNAcentral.
GACGGAGGGGGCAAGCGUUGUUCGGAAUUACUGGGCGUAAAGGGCUCGUAGGUGGCCAACUAAGUCAGACGUGAAAUCCCUCAGCUUAACUGGGGAACUGCGUCUGAUACUGGAUGGCUUGAGUUUGGGAGAGGGAUGCGGAAUUCCAGGUGUAGCGGUGAAAUGCGUAGAUAUCUGGAGGAAUACCGAUGGCGAAGGCAGGUCUCUGGGCCAAUACUGACGCUCAUGCACGAAAGCGUGGGGAGCAAACAGG